GAUUUGUCCAUCUUAUAGAAUAUGGAUGGUUACAUAAAUCCCGUUUCUUAUAAACCUUCUGAUUCAAACAGACUUCACCUUUUAAAGAAACAGCUGUUGAACCAGGACUUAACGAAGUUCCAUUGAGAUCACAUAUGCAAGAGAAAUGACUAACGAAUAUAGGAUAUUCAUCAAUUGACAGACAAUGUUGUUGCUGAUAUCCACUGCGAAUCAACACAAUUCUGAUACGUGUGAAAGACUUCAUACUUGGAAACUAUUAAACCCUCAUAGGUCCAACACUCAGAGAUAUAUAUGAUAAUAUGAAAUUAAGUUUGCUCUUAGGACUUUUUGCAAUAUUGACUCAAAACUCAAAGUCAAACCUAAAACUAACUCAUGCUUUGUUCUAUUCACUCCACAA
RNAcentral lists this long non-coding RNA (397 nucleotides) under Brassica napus (rape). Its description in RNAcentral is "long non-coding RNA (BNAP_LNC018955)". The record is from RNAcentral. Lineage: Eukaryota; Viridiplantae; Streptophyta; Magnoliopsida; Brassicales; Brassicaceae.